RNAcentral lists this ribosomal RNA (301 nucleotides) under uncultured bacterium. RNAcentral's name for it is "partial 16S ribosomal RNA". It matches the Rfam family "Bacterial small subunit ribosomal RNA", at positions 509 to 807 of the family's 1533-position model. The record is from RNAcentral.
CAGCCGCCGCGGGAAUACGAAGGGUGCAAGCGUUACUCGGAAUUACUGGGCGUAAAGCGUGCGUAGGUGGUGGUUUAAGUCCGUUGUGAAAGCCCUGGGCUCAACCUGGGAAUGGCAGUGGAUACUGGCUCGCUAGAGUGUGUCAGAGGAUGGUGGAAUUCCCGGUGUAGCGGUGAAAUGCGUAGAGAUCGGGAGGAACAUCAGUGGCGAAGGCGACUAUCUGGGCCAACACUGACGCUGAGGCACGAAAGCGUGGGGAGCAAACAGGAUUAGAUACCCCAGUAGUCCCUGUCUCUUAUAC